CGCCAUCAAUCCGUCUCGGAUUACUGGGCGUAAGCGUGCGUAGGUGGUCGUUUAAGUCCGUUGUGAAAGCCCUGGGCUCAACCUGGGAACUGCAGUGGAUACUGGGCGACUAGAAUGUGGUAGAGGGUAGCGGAAUUCCUGGUGUAGCAGUGAAAUGCGUAGAGAUCAGGAGGAACAUCCAUGGCGAAGGCAGCUACCUGGACCAACAUUGACACUGAGGCACGAAAGCGUGGGGAGCAAACAGGAUUAGAUACCCCGGUAGUCCC
This 266-nucleotide ribosomal RNA is filed under the name Stenotrophomonas maltophilia. RNAcentral describes it as "partial 16S ribosomal RNA". It matches the Rfam family "Bacterial small subunit ribosomal RNA", at positions 548 to 797 of the family's 1533-position model. The record is from RNAcentral. Lineage: Bacteria; Pseudomonadati; Pseudomonadota; Gammaproteobacteria; Lysobacterales; Lysobacteraceae.